This 520-nucleotide unclassified non-coding RNA is filed under the name uncultured Glomus. RNAcentral's name for it is "SSU rRNA". It matches the Rfam family "Eukaryotic small subunit ribosomal RNA", at positions 569 to 1091 of the family's 1831-position model. Lineage: Eukaryota; Fungi; Glomeromycota; Glomeromycetes; Glomerales; Glomeraceae. The record is from RNAcentral.
AGCAGCCGCGGUAAUUCCAGCUCCAAUAGCGUAUAUUAAAGUUGUUGCAGUUAAAAGCUCGUAGUUGAAUUUCGGGAUUAAUAUGUUGGUCGUGCCUUGGUACGUACUGGCAUUAUUGAUUCCUACCUUCUGAAGAACCUCGAUGUCAUUAAUUUGGUGUCUUGGGGAAUCAGGACCGUUACUUUGAAAAAAUUAGAGUGUUUAAAGCAGGCUCGCGCUUGAAUACAUUAGCAUGGAAUAAUGAAAUAGGACGUUUGAUUCUAUUUUGUUGGUUUCUAGGAUCGACGUAAUGAUUAAUAGGGAUAGUUGGGGGCAUUAGUAUUCAAUUGUCAGAGGUGAAAUUCUUGGAUUUAUUGAAGACUGACUACUGCGAAAGCAUUUGCCAAGGAUGUUUUCAUUAAUCAAGAACGAAAGUUAGGGGAUCGAAGACGAUCAGAUACCGUCGUAGUCUUAACCAUAAACUAUGCCGACUAGGGAUCGGAUGAUGUUAAUUUUUUUAAUGACUCAUUCGGCGCCUUAC